UCCUCUCAUUGUAAGCGCUCAUUUUACCCAGAGGAAGAAAGUUGUGUCAGUGGAACAUUUUUAAUUUCUUUUUUUUCUUACUUCUUAGCCUCUUGUGGCAGAACUCUUUGGGUUUAAUCAAUACCAAUCGAAAUAAUGUCUUAUCAACUUGGGGAUGGCUGCUCUUUGCUCAUAUUUUUAGAUAAGUUUUACUUUUUAGCUCCAUAUCUUCUGACAUCAAUUUCUUUUUUUUUUUUUUUUAAGGAAUUCUCAUCAUUGCUUUGCCAUCCCUUUUUUUGCGCGGUCUUUGCUUUAUGAUUUUAUAAGCGGCAAUAGGUGUUAUAAACAUCAUAUUUUGAUUGAUCUUCAAAGACAAGGUUCUUUUAAAAUUGAAAUUUUAUUAUUCAUUCUCGAUCGAUAUUCAUAGGUAGCUUUUUCGAACUCACCAAUGACUUGUCUAUGAAACAAAUCGAUCUCACACUCAAGUUAGAUUACUUUCCGAUCCUUUCUCUUUAUCAGAUGAGUUCGAGUUAAUAUUGAAUCUCCAAACUAUUUAAUCUUGCCUGCUAUUAUUCUUCGAUCUCUCUAUGUACAAAUAUCACAAAAUUCUAUUUGACUAAUGUUGUGAUCGGGCUUCUCGCUCGAAUUGCCCAGAUAUUCCUCAAAAUGAAGUUAAAGUUUUUAUCGGGUAUAAUAAUGAUUCCAACCUUAAAAGUUCAAGUCAGUGUCAAAUCUUUGCAAUUCUAAUAUUUUAAAGUUCCAUUUGAUAUUUGGUCAUGGCUCCAUCUGAUCUCAUGUUCACCUGUAACGUUUUUCUGAUCUCUUUGAGUAAUUUGAUAUCUUUUGAUUAAUAGUCGCUCUCAGGUUUAAUGUUCAACUACAUCAGGUUUAAUGUUCAACUACAUUCAAUCAAUUAAGUAUUUAAACAAUUUAAUUUGGAUGCUUUCCGAUCUCAUCAAGAAAUUGAACAUAAAAAACUUCAAUUCAUUUCAAAAUAAAAAAAUAUAUACAAGUCAAUUAGCAAAGGGGGUCUUCUCCGCCCUGCACCCCAAUUACAGUCCUCUCUCUCUCCUCACCCUCGUGCUUCUCAUCGCUGUCCUCUUCGGCCGCUGGGAUGAGCUUAUCCAUCCAGGAAAAGUCUUCCUCAGGAUAAUGCUUCUUUAGUUCGGACAGGAGGUCGUUAUGGGAGUUCACAUAUGCCCCAGCAUCUUUUGUAGUGCUCUCCUCCUUCUUUGCUUGGAGCUCCUCCUCCUUUGUCUAAAGUUCCUCAGAAAAACGAGCGAUAUUGACAGAUCGACCAGCCUGGGAGACUUCAAGUUCUCACUCCACUUCAGUUAUCCUCUCUUUGCAAUACUGCACCCAAUCUUCCAGUUUAACGAUGUAAUCAUUAGCAGUGGAGAGCUAAGCCUUUGCAGUUGAUGCAUCCUGGACCGCCUUAAGAAUCUCCUUCCUUAAGACGUGGGCUUUUUCUCUGAUCAUAUAUUGGUUUGCAAUAGCCUCCAAGCCAAACUCAUUGUCUAAGUUAGAAUAUCGUCAAUACUCUCUUCUGCCAACUGGUUCCAAUCUUCUUGAAAGUAGAUGGAAGCGCCCAUGACCUUGGCUAGACCAAGAUUUCCUCGGGUGGAGCAGUUUCUUUCCAGCAAUUAGAUAAGGAGUUGAGCUCCUCGGGAGACCAUUCUAAUAGUAGGGCUAGAAGACUCCCCUUCUACAUUGGAAGAGGUCAGAGGAGGCAGACAUUCAAUCUACUGAGGUAGAGAGACGAUGACCUCUACCUCUGAGGCUGGCUGCUCCUGAGGUCGAGGAGGGUAGCUUGGUACUUCUACCAAGUCUCGUCGAGGUGUUUGAGCAGCGGUGGCAGUAGCCUCUUUCAUUGCUCGUACCUUUUGGGAGACCUCCCUCUUCUGCUUGCGGCUCUCUUUGAAAGCGUUACCACCCGCCAUACCUGCACAAUGAAGAAGUCAGUGAGUUCGCUAAGAUUGAGAGACUAGAGAUCCGGAUUGUACCGGUAGCAGGACCGAGGUCAGAAAGCUGAAGCUCGUAAUCUUCAUGGGAGAUCAGCCGCAUCAUUCACCAUUUCAGUUCAGCCAUGACAGCAUCUAAGCACGAAUAUUUAUGGGUGGCCGCCUGAGUUUUUAAUUCUUUCACAAUGGCGUCUUCGUCUUUAUUUAAAGUAAGCUUCUUAGGGACUUGGGGGACUAAAUAAUUCCAAUUACGUGGGAUCCCCUCAAAGCCAUUUCGAUCCUUGCUCCUAAGGAUGAAAAAUCAAUCCUUCCAGUUCUUCAGCGAAGAAGGGAGAUCGGUGGAAAGCCUGCAGUUUGGCUUUGCCUGAAAAAAUGAGAAUUCGUCAUCAUUUCUUCGGGCAAGCCUAUGCAGCUCGACAAAGACCCUAACCGUGGGCUCUAGUCUCUUAGCUCGGCAGAGACCUCUGAAGGCUACUAAAGUCUGCCAGGAGUUCGGAUGCACUUGAUCUACCGAGACAUGGUGGAAUUUUAGGAUGGCCUUGUAAAAUCCAUCCAAGGGAAAACAGAGCUCGAACUUCAGCUGCUCGUCAUACACUAUGAUAAGAUUGCCUUCUUCAAAAAGUGAUCGGGUCGAAGAUCGCCAUGGCAUCUGAUCAGUUCAAAAGAGUCAAUCUGCAGAUUGUAUUCCUGACUUAUGGAUUGGAGAUCGGUCUCUCUAAGGACUGACGGUAGUUCAUCAACUGGCAGGUUCUCCUUUCUCGAAGACGUUCCUCAUUUCGAUCUAGUAGCCAGACAAGUAAUCGGAAUGAUGGCUGUGCUGGAUCGUCCGCUUGGUCUAAUCGCAUCGCCUCUUUCUGAGGUCCACAAAAUAUGGACGGAAGGUGGGCUCGCAGCUCUCUUACCCUCGGUACCACUCAUUUUCACAAAAUAAAAAGGAAAAUUGAUCGAAAAAAGAUUAAAGCUCUUACCGAAGUGUUAGUCGGUGCCGGAAAAACUUAAAAAGCGAGAGAAAAUUUGAUGUCGAUGAGAGAAAUCUGAAAGUGGCAUGAUUUGCGAAUGGCUACCCCCUCCCUAUUUAUACCCGCUAGUGCAUUAAAUGCUGCAUCGAUAAGUGAGAUCUGACCAGUGCCCUGUAACACCCCUAUGUUCGGUAGUGCGUUCUACUGUUCCGGUGAUAGUGUCUAUCCAGACAGCUAGGAUGCCUAGAACUACACUUAGAUAUGGGUGAGAAAACAUAAAAUAAUGAAAUACAAGAAAAUAAAAUACAAGAAAAACAAAAAAAAAAUAAUAGCAAUGAAAUGUAACCAAGUUAAACGAGCCGAAAACCAUAGCGAUGGCUGAUCACAGCGGAAAGUUACGGCGUGGACCGUUGAUUAGCCUUGGACCACAGGGAAUCCUGGAAAAUAUUUUUGAGAAUUAAAUGAACAUCUAUUGAAGUAUAAAUAUCAUUAGAAAUAUCAAAGAAAAAUUAAUUAAUUAGUACAAAGAAAAAAGAGAAAUCGAGAAAACGACAAAACUCGGUGUUACCGAAAAAUCGGGAAUGCAAUCCGAAUAGAGGCAUUGUGGUCAUUUGACAUCCUGAGAUGCCUUUUAACCUAAAUGUCCAUUAAAAAUAAAUGAUAUUAAACUUUGAAAAUACAAUGAAAAAUUAAAAUGAGAUACAUUAUGUAAAUAAUGAAAGUGUGGUGGCCAAAUUGCAAAAAUUGGAAAGUUUAACAUUAAAAUAGAUUUUUAAUCAAUUAGUGCUCCACUAACAUCACUUAAGUGGACCUUUAAUCAACCUUUGGACAGAAAAUUCUGUCAUCUUCAACCUUGGGACAAACCAGCCGAAACAAAGUGAGAGAAAAACUCCAUGGCUGAGCUUGAAGGACCUCCAUGCAACCUUGGUUAAGUCACUCUUUCCACUAGCUCCCUUCAUUAAACUUGACCUCCAUACCUUGGGUAGCAUACUAGGAGCAAGAAAGUUAAGUUUUGGUGAGGUUUUAAAGAACUUCAAAAGUGGUAAGUGAGUGUUUUCAAUUCUUAUUUCAUUAAAAGUGUAACCAAGGUUGUGGGUAGUUAAUUUAUGGAAGAAUUUUUUAUGUUUGAUAUUUUAAUGGAGAUGUACAUUUUGGUAGCCAUGGAAAUUCAGUAUAUGUAGCUUGUUUUUAAUUAUUUAUGGUUGUUUCAGAUGUUGUUAUUGAUGGCAGUAUGGAUAUGUGUAUAAUGGUUUGGAAUUGGGUAUGUAAAUGGGGUAUGUUCAUGUGGUUAAAUGGUGUAAAUGGACUUUGGAAAAUUCUGUUUUAUAAUGUGCAUAUUGAGAAUGGUUACAAGCUGUCCAAAAUGUGUUGUUAAAUGUGUUAAUGGUAAGGUACAAACCAGAAUUGGCAUAAAGGAAGUAAUUUGGUAAGUGUUGAAUAUGUAAUUGGUAAGUGAUGAGAAGUGUAUAGUAGGACAGUGUGUGUUUUGGCUUAAAACCUUAUGUGUGUGACUCCAAUUGGUAUAAGACCAAUUGGAAGUGAAACUAGGCACAAAAUGUGCCAACUUUCAUGAAGGAAGCUUACCUAAAUUCUGCCUAGAAGGUAACUUGAAAAAUGACUAAAUCCAUAUUAGUGACUUGAAAGCCUGGAAAUUGACCAUUUGGGCAGUAGUUAGUGUUUUGGCUAUAACUCACUCAAAACAGGUCUAAAUGACUUGAAAUUUUUACCAUCAAUAGUUUAGACAUAUAUCUACAAUUCUUAUGAAGUCACCAAUGCCCAGAAAUAGCAAAAACCAAGCCAACUAGUUUGCACAAGUUCAGGUAUCAAAACUAGCCGAACCAAAAGUGACCUAAAAAUAACCUAAAGUUAGCAUUUAGGUGCAUUUUGUCCAGCAUUGGUAAAUUGACCAUAACUUGGUCUACACAACUCAGAAUGACCUGAAAUUUUGCCCCACGUGCAAUGGGACAUAGACCUACAAGUUUGUAGUUUAGACCGAAACCCAAAAACCGAGAAAACUAGGUCAUAUGGCUAGGUCAAAUUAGUAUACUGGAAUUCGGCAAAUUGCAAUAAAAUGCAAUAUACUUGAAAAUGAAUUUGGUAACAUGUACCAACACUAAAAGGCUAUAAAAUGUGACAUAUUGAUAACAUUAAACCUAAUUCGCCUAGAGUGCAUCGAGGGUCAACAUUUUAGGUUAACUAAGGAAAAUAAUAGAAUUCAAUAAAUUAAUUAUUAAGCCUUAUUGUUAGAGAUAGUUUAAAUGAGUAUUGAAAUACUUCAAAUUGUGUGUUUUAGUUAGCAAAGACUCAGGGAAGGGGAAGGAAACACUGAUUCAGGACCAAGAGACAUUUAUCAGAGGUAGACAGACUUACAAGGCAGCAGACUAGGCUGCUAGUGCUACAUUGAGAGUUCAUCGGGAGGUCUAAGAUCCUCAAAUUGACUAUCGAAGAAGAGGAUCGUUCAGUCGAUCAAUCUAUAGAGGUUGAGGUAAAAGGGGAUGCCCCAGCCCUACAUAAUGUGAGUGGAUCAACUCCACCAACCCCGUCAGUACCGUAGUUUCCUGCUCAGUUUGCACAGCAGAUGGCUGUGAUGUUUCAAUAGAUGGCUGGUAACAUGUCUACUCAAGUCCCACUACAGACAUCAGUGGUACAACUACAGUCUUCAGCUAGGCAGUAUGACAAGCUGAUUAAAUAUGGGGCUACUGAGUUCAAGGGGACAGUAGAUCCUCUAGAGGAAGAACAGUGGUUAGAAAGAAUGGAUAGGGUGUUCAAGAAGCUACAUUGUAUAGAGGAGCUCAGAUUUGAAUAUUCAGUGUCUCUGCUACAGGGGGAUGCAUAUGACUGGUGGAAAACCAUUCCCCAUAGUCUGGUAGAACCUUCAGUGCUAACAUGGAAUAUUUUCUACGGGAGUUCAGACAAAAAUAUGUCCCUGAUGCUUAUGUGGACCAGAAGUUGCGAGAGUUCCUAAGUCUGAAACAGGGGACUAGAUCAAUGGUUGAAUAUGAAGGGGAAUUUUCUCGCCUGAGCCAUUAUGCAGUAAGUCUAUUUUCUACCAAUAGGGAGAGAUGUAAGAGGUUUGAAACUGGCUUGAAGCUCAGUAUUAGAUUACAAGUGGUCGGAUUCAAACAUAACAACUGCUCUGAGCUUAUUUCUCAAGCACUAGAAUUAGAAAGAAUUGAGUUAGAAGCAGCUCCAGAGAAAAAGAAAUCAGAAAAGACAAAGAAAGAGAAAGAGAAAGAGAAAGAGGGAAAGUCAGUAGAACAGAGUUCCAAUGGUUCUACUGGGAAGAGGAAAAACUUUGGGGGACACAGCAAGGGUGGUAAAAAGUCUGGUAGGGGAAGAUGUUCGGGACAGAAACCUCCUCCAUCUGGUCAGCAAAGUACCAGAAGUUCCUACCCUCCCCGCUAAUGUGAAACUUGUGGUAGAAACUAUGGUGGGGUAUGCUACAAGGCCACAGGAGCCUAUUAUAACUAUGGAGGCACAGGACACUUUGCCAAGGACUACACCAGUGCCCGUAGAGUUGGGUCACCUCCUACUACUACUGAAGGGUCAGUUCAGAGUCCUGCCACCAGAGGUUCACAACCACCUAGCAGAGGUAAAGGCAGGGGUAGAGGUAGUCCAGCAGGUAGCCAAGGCACAGUGAAUCAAUCAAAGCAAGGCAGUGCUCCAGUUAGAGUCUACGCAAUGAGAUAGAGAGAAGAGGCAGAGACAUCUGAUAUUGUGGCUGGUACCUUCUCAACUUUUAAUCAAUAUGUGUUUGUGUUAUUUGAUCCGGGUUCUACCCAUUCUUAUGUGAGUACUAGCAUCAUUGAUUGCAUUGCUGUUUCAUGUGUGAAAAUGGACUUUGAGGUGCUAGUAACAAGUUCGCUAGGACAAGAGGUCAGGGUUAAUAGAAUGUAUAGGGAUUGUCCUUUGGGGAUUCAAGGACACACCUUUCUAUCUGAUCUCAUUGAAAUGCCCUUUAGAGAUUAUGAUAUCAUCUUGGGCAUGGAUUGCUUAGCCAGGCAUCACGCUGUGAUUGACUGUAGACUAAAGACAAUCACUUUUGGUCUCCCUCAGUACAGUGAUGUGGUAAUACAUGGGGAGAGGCAGCUAUUGCCAUCAAACAUCAUUUCGGCUGCACUAGCCAGAAAAAUGAUCAGAAAGGGGUGUGAAGCCUACUUGGCACAUG
Molecule: long non-coding RNA, 7067 nt
Organism: Hevea brasiliensis (rubber tree)
Lineage: Eukaryota; Viridiplantae; Streptophyta; Magnoliopsida; Malpighiales; Euphorbiaceae
Exons: 3
Source: RefSeq, a predicted model, not a curated record